RNAcentral lists this ribosomal RNA (471 nucleotides) under uncultured bacterium. RNAcentral's name for it is "bacterial SSU rRNA". It matches the Rfam family "Bacterial small subunit ribosomal RNA", at positions 28 to 507 of the family's 1533-position model. The record is from RNAcentral.
GAUGAACGCUGGCGGCGUGCCUAACACAUGCAAGUCGAACGAAGCACCUUGAUUUCCUCGGAUUGAUUGGUGACUGAGUGGCGGACGGGUGAGUAACGCGUGGGUAACCUGCCUCAUACAGGGGGAUAACAGUUAGAAAUGGCUGCUAAUACCGCAUAAGCGCACAGUACCGCAUGGUACCGUGUGAAAAACUCCGGUGGUAUGAGAUGGACCCGCGUCUGAUUAGCUAGUUGGUAAGGUAACGGCUUACCAAGGCGACGAUCAGUAGCCGGCCUGAGAGGGUGAUCGGCCACAUUGGGGCUGAGACACGGCCCAAACUCCUACGGGAGGCAGCAGUGGGGAAUAUUGCACAAUGGGGGAAACCCUGAUGCAGCAACGCCGCGUGAAGGAUGACGUAUUUCGGUAUGUAAACUUCUAUCAGCAAGGAAGAUGAUGACGGUACUUGACUAAGAAGCCCCGGCUAACUACGUG